UCCGUGACCUGUAUUCUGAGAAGCUUCAGGUCCUCUAAGUUCCCGUUGGUUGACAGGAAUAACCCUGUUGCCUUGUUCCGAAGUCUGAAAUAAAUACGUUUCUAGAAGACAAAACCCAGCAAUGAUCAGAAGGAUGCUGGUGCCCACGCCUGAAGGCUGUGGACUCCUGCACGCCACGGCCUGUGCAUGACCCCGCUCCUGCAUGCCAUGGCCUGUGCGUGACCCAGAGGCCUUCCGCGGGCCCAUGUGUUACCGAGGAAGAAUGUCCUCGACUUUUAAUCCUGGAACUCUAAAGCACCCAAAUGUUUUUUAAACAGCUAUAGUCCCCUCCAACACUUGAUGCAUACAGGCAGACUAUACCUAUUUUUGCAAGUGAAACAAAAAUACUUCCUUAAAAACAUUUAUUACAUUGAUAGUUCUUACUCAUUUUUAUAUCUUCAUUUCACAGUUAUUCAAAGUUGAGAAAAAUCUUCCCAUAUUGACCUUUAAGCAUGCGCAGCAUCUGGUAGUCACUCCUAGUUAAAGGAAAACCCCAGCCCUUAAUCCAAAAUCAAAGGACUUGGUCUUUUAAAGGGAAAAGGAAAACGAGCUCUCUCAUACUUGCUAGAAAGUGCUCAGUAAAUUCAGAGCACUGUUUUGCAAAGUGUUCUCCUAGAAACUUUGAAGUGUUGAAGACCAAGUCCUUACCUGAAGUAAACUAAAAGCCUGGAGGAAUUGAUGAGAGAGUCUUCAUACCUGGCUCUUCCCAGUGGGAAAAGUCCAAUAUGAAGGUGCAUAAUCAUUAACCCUUACAGAAAAUAGGUGGGUUUGUGUCACUUUAAGGUAAUGUAGGAGAAAAAGAAAUAUGAUCAGACUUAUUCUUUAAAAUCAUCUCUUAUUGAAUGAACAAGUAGGUAACUCACAUGCCACCGAUCACCUGAACUGAGCGUAUCUGUGUAUUGAAUCCCAGGGAUUGGAGAUUGACUGCUUCUGCAUUAAGCUCAAUCUUUUUUCCUUUGAAGUCUUCUCUUUC
Molecule: long non-coding RNA, 1012 nt
Organism: Pipistrellus kuhlii (Kuhl's pipistrelle)
Lineage: Eukaryota; Metazoa; Chordata; Mammalia; Chiroptera; Vespertilionidae
Exons: 2
Source: RefSeq, a predicted model, not a curated record